RNAcentral lists this ribosomal RNA (470 nucleotides) under uncultured bacterium. Its description in RNAcentral is "bacterial SSU rRNA". It matches the Rfam family "Bacterial small subunit ribosomal RNA", at positions 28 to 507 of the family's 1533-position model. The record is from RNAcentral.
GAUGAACGCUGGCGGCGUGCUUAACACAUGCAAGUCGAACGAAGACAUCUGAGUGCUUGCACUUGGAUGGACUGAGUGGCGGACGGGUGAGUAACGCGUGGGUAACCUGCCUUAUACAGGGGGAUAACAGUUGGAAACGACUGCUAAUACCGCAUAAGCGCACGGUAUCGCAUGAUACAGUGUGAAAAACUCCGGUGGUAUAAGAUGGACCCGCGUCUGAUUAGCUUGUUGGUGAGGUAACGGCCCACCAAGGCGACGAUCAGUAGCCGGCCUGAGAGGGUGAACGGCCACAUUGGGACUGAGACACGGCCCAAACUCCUACGGGAGGCAGCAGUGGGGAAUAUUGCACAAUGGGGGAAACCCUGAUGCAGCGACGCCGCGUGAGUGAUGAAGUAUUUCGGUAUGUAAAGCUCUAUCAGCAGGGAAGAAAAUGACGGUACCUGACUAAGAAGCCCCGGCUAAACUACGUG